UACGAAGGGGCUAGCGUUGUUCGGAAUUACUGGGCGUAAAGCGCGCGCAGGCGGUCUUCCAAGUCAGUGGUGAAAGCCCGGAGCUCAACUCCGGAACUGCCAUUGAAACUGUUGGACUUGAGUACGAGAGAGGUGAGUGGAAUUCCCAGUGUAGGAGGUGAAAUUCGUAGAUAUUGGGAAGAACACCGGUGGCGAAGGCGGCUCACUGGCUCGUAACUGACGCUCAGGCGCGACAGCGUGGGACGUCGAAACAGG
RNAcentral lists this ribosomal RNA (255 nucleotides) under uncultured bacterium. Its description in RNAcentral is "partial 16S ribosomal RNA". It matches the Rfam family "Bacterial small subunit ribosomal RNA", at positions 524 to 776 of the family's 1533-position model. The record is from RNAcentral.